AUUGAACGCUGGCGGCAUGCCUUACACAUGCAAGUCGAACGGCAGCACGGGUGCUUGCACCUGGUGGCGAGUGGCGAACGGGUGAGUAAUACAUCGGAACAUGUCCUGUAGUGGGGGAUAGCCCGGCGAAAGCCGGAUUAAUACCGCAUACGAUCUACGGAUGAAAGCGGGGGACCUUCGGGCCUCGCGCUAUAGGGUUGGCCGAUGGCUGAUUAGCUAGUUGGUGGGGUAAAGGCCUACCAAGGCGACGACCAGUAGCUGGUCUGGGAGGACGACCAGCCACACUGGGACGGAGAAACGGCCCAGACUCCUACGGGAGGCAGCAGUGGGGAAUUUUGGACAAUGGGCGAAAGCCUGAUCCAGCAAUGCCGCGUGUGUGAAGAAGGCCUUCGGGUUGUAAAACACUUUUGUCCGGAAAGAAAACCUUUGCCAUAAUACGGGCGGGGGAUGACGGUACCGGAAGAAUAAGCACCGGCUAACUACGUG
Molecule: ribosomal RNA, 486 nt
Filed under: uncultured bacterium
Lineage: Bacteria
Description: partial 16S ribosomal RNA
Rfam family: Bacterial small subunit ribosomal RNA
Source: RNAcentral